RNAcentral lists this ribosomal RNA (419 nucleotides) under bacterium. RNAcentral describes it as "bacterial SSU rRNA". It matches the Rfam family "Bacterial small subunit ribosomal RNA", at positions 266 to 716 of the family's 1533-position model. The record is from RNAcentral.
CACCUAGGCGACGAUCCCUAGCUGGUCUGAAGGAUGACCAGCCCCUGGAACUGAGACCGGUCCACUCCUACGGGAGGCAGCGGGGAAUAUUGAAUGGGGCAAGCCUGAUGCAGCCAUGCCGCGGAUGAAGAAGGCCUUCGGGUUGUAAAGACUUUCAGCGGGGAGGAAGGGGGGUUCUUACGUACCCGAAGAGCACCGGCUAACUCCGUGCCAGCAGCCGCGGUAAUACGGAGGGUGCAAGCGUUAAUCGGAAUUACUUGGCGUAAAGCGCACGCAGGCGGUCUGUCAAGUCGGAUGUGAAAUCCCCGGGCUCAACCUGGGAACUGCAUCCGAAACUGGCAGGCUUGAGUCUUGUAGAGGGGGGUAGAAUUCCAGGUGUAGCGGUGAAAUGCGUAGAGAUCUGGAGGAAUACCGGUGGC